AGCAGGCGAUCUCCUCUGCCCGAGCCGGCGACCAACAGCAGCAGCUCCCGCUGCACCCUGCUACCCCGGCCUCCAGCGCAGCAACGAGGCCAGCCGUGACCGCGCCUUCUUCUUCCCCUUCAUCUCCCGUCACCCUCUCUCAUCUCUCUCUUUCUUGUUUCCUUCUGUUGCAGGAGCUCCCGCCUGAGCAGCCAUGGGUGAGCUCGAGCCUCCUCUGCCCGGAUCGAGCUCCCGACGCCGCGAACGGGUCCGUCCUGGCCGGAUCCACCCAUUCUGGCGCAGACCCUGCCGGAUUUGGCCUUCUCUGCGCCUCCCACGUCCAGCCCGAGUUCAUCCCUGCCAUGGCCGUGUCUCUGGUACGGGGGAGUUCGAGCGCCUCGCUCCGCCACCGGCCGGAUGUGGUGCCCCGAGG
RNAcentral lists this long non-coding RNA (412 nucleotides) under Hordeum vulgare. RNAcentral's name for it is "long non-coding RNA (HVUL_LNC011724)". The record is from RNAcentral. Lineage: Eukaryota; Viridiplantae; Streptophyta; Magnoliopsida; Poales; Poaceae.